AGAGAGGAAGAGGGCACAGAACUUCUGCUGGGGUGUUAGAUGCGGGCAACCAGCCCAGGCUGAGUUUCUGGGCUGUGAUUGGAAUUCUGCUGGGGUCUCUCUAGGGGAGGUUUGUGCCUGCUCUCAGCGCAGCAUUGUUCCUGUGACGAGAAGGGCUUUUUAUGUGGCUUCCCUGGGAAAUCAGACAUGACCAGACUCCCCGCUGCGUGUCUGCGUUCGCUGCAGGCUGGUGGGAGAUGCCUUUGUGGUUCCUAGCACUUGAGAACAAGUUGCUUAAAAACCAAACCAAACAAAACAGAAUAGAGCAGAGCAGAGCAGAGCAGAGCAAAGCAAAACAAAGCUCAUUGUUUUCUUUUAUUCCUUCAUUUAAAAAGCAGAGGUUUUGCAGAGACUUUGGACACAUGGAGACAAGAAUAAGAAGUCAGGGAAGCCAUAGGUAAGCCCACCAGCCUGAGCUACCUGCAGGGAAGCAUCCUCUACUCCGACAGGCCACCCGGUUGAGAAGGUCACGGGGCCACAGAAGGGCUCCCCAUAAACAUCUGAGAGGGAUGAGCACCAUCUUAGUGCGCCACACCUCGCCCUGGCCUCCUGGCCCCCUGGCUUCCUGUCUGCGCUGUACAGCAUUGGAAGAAUUUCCCAGAAUUUCAAGGAAUGAAAAUGUGAACAUUGGAAAUGGCCUGGCUUUUUAUCUCUGCCUGGGGAGAGAUAAACUGCGUUGAACUAUUGAACUGGGCAAAAGCAUAUGACUGAACACAGGACUGCUGCACCCACAUUCUUGAUAAAAAUUGGACACUCUGCAAAAAAUAUUUUCCUAGUAACUGUCACAAUGUACUCAGAUAAUUUUGUACAUUGUAAAAUGUAAUUAUAUCUUCCACUCAGAAUUUUUGGAAGACAACCGGUGCAAGUUUCUGGAGACUUCUGCAGUUUGUUAAUAAAGACCCUGGGUGUUUACUGCUCCUCGACAGGAUGAAGUUUGGGUUGCUGCCUGAAUCUAUGCUUCCCAAGUGGCGAUUCUAAGACCCCAGAUAAACUCUUUUGUCUUAUUUGGGUAACUUCCUGUUUUCUUAGCCAAGAAAGGGAAGGAAGAAAAUCGACAUUCUGCCUAUUAUCCCUCAACGCCUAUUGCAUGGGUCACCGAGUCACCUGCACCAUGUCAUGGGCUUCCUUUGCCAGGUUUGUGCCAUGUCCUCCUGUAAUAAAUAAGAAAGCUGAGGUGCAUUCAAAUCACUUACACACACCGGAGCAGAGACAGAAGAAACCCUCACCCUUCUGACAGUUCUAAGUACUGGGGUGCUGCAUCGACGGCAAGAGCAAGGACAGCAAGAGGAAGCCUCUCACAUCCAGGUCCCCCUCCCCCGCCCCCAGCCUCCCUUCUUGACAGUCAUUUUCCUACCAACUUGGCCAUCCCACCUCAGGGGGCAUGUAGCCUGGAUGCUGUGAUAAAACACCCUCUUUGCACCAAGGAAAUUGAGAGCAGGGGGUCAGGGGCUGGUUGCUAUUGGGUUUGAUUCCUAAUCACUUUUUAAAUCCCUUGUGCCUUGUGAAAUAAACGUGAUGGACUUUGGGGGCUGGUUUCUGAAGCCUUGUGAAGAGGAGAGGCCCAGGCAGCCUGUGGACAGCUAAUUUGAUCAGAGGUUGUGAUUUCCUCCUCUUGCCUCUGUGUCCAGGGCAGAUAAAAUGGAAGGAGGGCAGAGAUGCUUAAUUAACCCUGUAAUUCUUGCAUGGGCUAAUUAGCAUAUAGAUGAGGGUGGCUUUCCAAGCCUGUCUCAGAGCUGUCUCCUGUCUGUGUGCAGAGCGCUGGGCUAGCCCCCACAUUAACCAGUCACAGUCCUUCCCAAGUUCUGCCUAAAGGAGGCCCAUGACCGUGGGGUGGUACAGGGAGAUUGGGGGCCUCUUAUGGACUUAGGAAUUUUUAACACAAUCUCUCAGCCAGUGCUUUGAGGACACUAUGACCGGGGCUACUUGGGCUUCUCAUUAGUUUGGCCUGGUUCUGGCAUUCUGGACCCUCUGUGGUCGACUUCUACCCACCCUGGGGUCUCUGCCCUCUGACCUUGUCUUCCCAAGCUGAGAGUGUGGAGCCCAGCUGUGGCAGUUGCCCAGGAGGAGGGGUUGGACUCAACCAUUUGCCCUGUCUUUCCCAGAGCUGCAUUGGUUAUCUGUCCCCUCCCUUAUCCAGUUGGUAGAUUCAAGGCUUGGAGAGCCUUAGAAGCCCUCCUGGAAUUUCCUCCCCACUAACUAGGCGUAGGCAUGCCAAGCACAGCUAUUCCCUUGGUUGGGGUGGGGUGGGGGUGGAGGGUUCCAGUCAGGGGUCUGACAAAUGUGCUGUGUGGCUUAGUGUGCUGGGGGAGUGAGUGGGCCCAGGCAGGGUGGAAGUAGGACCAUGGGCAAGCCCCUCUGGCCCUCCAACCCUUCCUGUGUCCCCUCCUUGAGGGUCUGCCCCUGAAGCUCUCCAGUGUACCCUCACUCCCCACCUUGCAGCUCCAGAAGUCUACCUGCUGUAGCACGUGGGGCUGGAGGUUUGAAGAAAGAAAACAUUUGCUUAACAAAGUCCAGGUUUGAAUUUGAUCUGGGCCAAGCCUGUGUCCUGAUGCACACAGGUUCCACCGGGGUUCCUGAUGACCCAGUCAUAUGGAGGGAGAAGGCACACAGGACAAAACGGCCAGGGCAGGGAUGCAGGCCCAGCCUUGUCCCAACCGUCCCCAUCCGUGAAAUGGGGAUGAUGAUACACACUUCACAGAUUCAAUUUCUGGUCUCACAAGAAGCACCUUGGAGGGUGGAGCCCUAUCCGCAUUUUACAGAUAAGACUGUUGGGGCUCAGAGUGGCCAUGUUUAGCUCAAGAGGCCAGAAUUGGGAAUAGAGCCUAGGGUAGCAUGCAGACCAGUGGGACUCUGAGCUUCUGUUCCCCCCCAGCGGGAGAGGGCAGAGGGCCUCCGUGUAGGGCAUGUCAGGGUGUGCAGUGUGUGCACAUGUGUGUGCACGUGUGUGUGCAUGUGUGUGUGUGUGCCUGUGUUAGCAUGCAUGGGGUCUGCUCAGCAGUUCUGUGGGGCUGCUGUGGUGGAACCAACACACAGGCCUGAGGAAAGGUCUGUUCAUUCUAUCACUUAUCUUAGUGACAGUGGUGUGGGCAGAACUUGCGAGUAGCCAGAAAUAUUUUAAGAGAAAACAUUUUUAAAGUUUAUUUAUUUAUUUUGAGAGAGUGAGCAAGCGGGAAGAGGGGCAGGGAGAGGGGGAGAGAGAAAAUCCCAAGCAGACCCCGGGCUGUCAGUGCAGAGCCCAAUGCUGGGCUCGAACUCAUAAACAGUGAGAUCAUGACCUGAGUUGAAACCAAGAGUUAAAUGCUCAACUGACUGAGCCACCCAGGAGCCAUAAGAGAAAUUAAAAAAAAAUUUUUUUUAAUGUUUAUUCAUUUUGGAGAGACAGAGAGUGUGAGUGGGGAGGGGCAGAGAGAGAGAGGGAAACACAGAAUCUGAAGCUGGCUCCAGGCUCUGAGCUGUCAUCACAGAGCCCGACGCAGGGCUUGAACUCAUGGCAGCAUCAUGAGAUCAUGACCUGAGCCAAAGUCAGACGCUUAACUGACUAAUCCACCCAGGUACCCCACUAAUAAAUUUUUUAUUGAGAUAAUUGUAAAUUCACUUGAAGUUGUAAGAAAUAAUAAGGUUCACUUGUACCCUUUACAGGGUUUCCUUUAAUGGUAACAUUACAAAAUUAUAGUAUAAUAUCACACAGUACAUGCUGAUGUUGAUACAACCGUCUGAUCUUAUUUAGGUUUCCCCAGUUUUACUUUCAUUCAUUUGUGCAUGUGUUUGUACAUGGAUGUGUAUGUGGGAGGAGUGGUUUGAGGGAUGGGGCUGAUCAAGGGGAGGAUAUGACCAUGUGGGGCAGUAACACACCACAGGCUCAAUGAGGUCGUGUUGAGACAGGGUUGCAUGUGGGGGAACCCUUCCUAGCAGAAAUCUGUGCAGAGACUAUGAGGUCCAGAGAGGGGUGUCACUACCCAGAAGGAGAGGAGGGCAGGACACCUUCUGGGAGAGAAGCAGGUGGGGCAGAGGGCUCAUGUGUCCAGGUGGUGUCACUUAGCCACACCCCAGGCAUGUCCGGGUCACAGAGUUGGGAAGUGCAGCAGGGGCAUCGGGCUUUAUGUUAUAAUUUUUUAAAUGUUUA
This is a long non-coding RNA of Acinonyx jubatus (cheetah), 4162 nucleotides long. RefSeq lists it as uncharacterized. The transcript is spliced from 3 exons. Lineage: Eukaryota; Metazoa; Chordata; Mammalia; Carnivora; Felidae. The record is from RefSeq and is a predicted model, not a curated record.